Molecule: long non-coding RNA, 1685 nt
Organism: Gallus gallus (chicken)
Lineage: Eukaryota; Metazoa; Chordata; Aves; Galliformes; Phasianidae
Source: Ensembl
CCCAGCGGCGGGGGCACCGCGCGGCCGAGCGCUGCGGCGGGACAUGGCUCGGGGACACCUUAACCCCGCGGCCGGACGGGGUGCAAAGUCAGCACUGCGCUGUGCAGGCUGAGCGUUUCACCCCGGUGGUGCAAACUGGACUCAGAUCUGUGCAAUGAGCUGUUCUGAGUGAGAGCCCCAACCAAGGAGGCUGCACAGCUCUGCAUGUUUGGGGUUGCUGUGCUCCAUAACAGUACAAACAGUCGAAGUUGGAUCAAGCAACAGCUCUGGGAGGGCGAGAUGGCCCAGGAGAAGGCAUCUGAUGCUACAGAAAUUUGGUAUCCUCACCAUCACCUCCCAGGAGGUUUGGCACAGGGAUGCUCCAGCACGAAGUGGGCAUCAGCAUCUUGGACUUCACCCUUCUUAGACCUCACUGCAGGAUCCUUUCCUCUUUAAAUCACGAAUCCUGCAGAGCAGAGGAUGUGACAUCUGCUACCAAUGUGCUGGAUGGCUUGGGCUCAACCCCAGCUGCCCUGAGUGCUGCUGUUUCCAAGGUGCCAUGCACUUGGGAUGCAUCCAACAAUCUUGCAUUGUUGUCAGCUGAAGCAGAGCUGGAUUCCACUCUUGAAUUUUGCCAAACUUGGGCACUUUGUUUAUACAUUAAAUUUCUCCAGUGGGAAAUAGAGGUGAUGCCAGCAAAGUGCCUGUAUAGGAGUGCCCUGAAAGAUGUGAUGUAUAUUUGAUGCAACAGCUCGUCUCCAAGGGAAUCGGUUCUGUGUGUUGAAAUAUUUGGUUGUUUCAUUGAAGAAAGCAAGCCCAGAUUUCAAGGAGUUUUCAAGUGCAUACACAGGGUUAGGUGGUUUGCUAUCCUUGAGGGGCUGAAGCUGAGCAUGUUGCCAUAACAAUCCCACAGCACAGUGAUCAGCACAAACUGAAGCAUGUCUCUUGCAUCCAGCUGCCAGCCCAGCUGGGUUUGGAGGCAGCAUGGUUUGCUGAGCCCCAGGAAUUACUGGCAGGUGCCUGGUUUGCAUGCAGGAGGGAUGCUAACACUGCCUAAGGAGGUGCAGUCCUCUGGUUGUGCUGCUCCUCCCGCAGGGCUGGGACGUGGGAAGCACUGUAAGGCAGUGACACACAGCCUCCUGAAGGGCUUUCUCCUGCGCUGGGAGCACCAAAACACACCGGGAAAGCGAUGACCACACUAUUACUUCCUCCCAUUUCUCCAUCUCUUUCCCAUUUCCCUGCACCUGCUGGCCCCUUCUCUCCCACUGCAGUGACUUCUGGGUGCAUUUUCUCCCAGCUGUGCCCAGGUAAAUAACUUCUUCAAUGCCUUUGCAGUACCCUACGGAGCAGCGAAAGCAGAAAUCUGCUGAUGGCCCCAGAAACAGGCACCGUGGUGGGGAUGGAUGCUUUGAUUUCCAGCAAUGCAAUUAACACCAUCCUGAACAAAAAUAAUCGAGUGAGAUCUCUGCAUGGGAGAGCAGACCUGUAAGGGAGAGAUGCUGUUCCAAAAGGAAGGCAUUGCCCCUCGCUGGAGCAGCUUUAAUGCGGUUAUCUGAACCCACCCCGCAGGGCCAAACUUUACCAUCCCAAUAUUCUUAUCUGCACGCCUGCAGUGUAACUAAAGGGCCGUGGAACAGAACUGGGAUCAAACAGAUGCUUUGGUCUCUGGUUUUGGUGGCUGUGCUGCAGCUGCUGUCACUUCUGUG